Molecule: ribosomal RNA, 498 nt
Filed under: Geograpsus grayi
Lineage: Eukaryota; Metazoa; Arthropoda; Malacostraca; Decapoda; Grapsidae
Description: partial 12S ribosomal RNA
Source: RNAcentral
AACUAUUAAUAAUAAAAGGUAAAAUUAGACUGUUAUUAGGUAGAUGUUAAUUGAUUAUAGUUGAAGCUAAGAAAUUUCAGUAAAAAACUAGGAUUAGAUACCCUAUUAUUCUGAAUUGAAACUAAGGAAAACUAAAUUAGUAGUAGUUAGUUGCUUAAAAAUUAAAAAAUUUGGCGGUGAUUUAAUCUUCCCAGAGGAAUUUGUUUCUUGAUCGAUAUACCACGCAGAAUCUUACUUACUUUUGUAUUAAAAAGUAACAGUUUGUAUACCAUCAUUAUCAGGUAAUUUUUAAAGAAUUAAUUACUAGAAUAAGAAAUAAUUAUAAAAAUUAGAUCAUGGUGCAGCUUAUGAGUAAGUUGAAAUGAGUUACAAUAAAUUGUUUUAUGCGGAGCUGUAGAAGAAAUUUUGUUGUUGAAGGUGGAUUUGGUUGUAUUAUAAUUUUAAUAGGUUUAUAGGAUAUAGGUUCUAAAUCAUGUACAUAUCGCCCGUCGCUUUCGU